Molecule: ribosomal RNA, 1425 nt
Filed under: Clostridioides difficile
Lineage: Bacteria; Bacillati; Bacillota; Clostridia; Peptostreptococcales; Peptostreptococcaceae
Description: partial 23S ribosomal RNA
Rfam family: Bacterial large subunit ribosomal RNA
Source: RNAcentral
CUAAGCACACUGUUGGUUAUGUGUGCCCAAGCAUUGAGGCAGUCAAAGUAGGCAAAUCCGCUUUGAUAAUGCUGGGAUGUGAUGGGGAGCGAAAUUUAGUAGCGAAGUAGCUGAUUUCACACUGUCAAGAAAAGUCUCUAUCGAGGUUAAAGGUACCCGUACCGCAAACCGACACAGGUGGGUGAGGAGAGUAUCCUAAGGCCAGCGAGAGAACUGUUGUUAAGGAACUCGGCAAAAUGACCCCGUAACUUAGGGAUAAGGGGUGCCACCAUCAGGUGGCCGCAGAGAAUAGGCCCAAGCGACUGUUUACCAAAAACAUAGGUUUCUGCUAAGUCGCAAGACGAUGUAUAGGAGCUGACGCCUGCCCGGUGCUGGAAGGUUAAGGGGAUCUGUUAGAGUAAUCGAAGCAGUGAACUUAAGCCCCAGUAAACGGCGGCCGUAACUAUAACGGUCCUAAGGUAGCGAAAUUCCUUGUCGGGUAAGUUCCGACCCGCACGAAAGGCGUAACGAUUUGGGCACUGUCUCAACAACAGACUCGGUGAAAUUGUAAUUCCGGUGAAGAUGCCGGAUACCUGCGACAGGACGGAAAGACCCCAUGGAGCUUUACUGUAGCUUGACAUUGGGUCUUGGUACUACAUGUACAGGAUAGGUGGGAGGCUUUGAAACCAGGACGCCAGUUUUGGCGGAGCCAUCCUUGGGAUACCACCCUUGUAGUACUGGGACUCUAACCAUAGGCCAUGAAUCUGGUCUUGGGACACUGUCAGGUGGGCAGUUUGACUGGGGCGGUCGCCUCCCAAAAGGUAACGGAGGCGCUCAAAGGUUCUCUCAGUACGGUCGGAAAUCGUACGUAGAGUGUAAAGGCAAAAGAGAGCUUGAUUGCAAGACAUACAGGUCGAGCAAGGAUGAAAAUCGGACUUAGUGAUCCGGUGGUUCUGCGUGGAAGGGCCAUCGCUCAACGGAUAAAAGCUACCCUGGGGAUAACAGGCUUAUCUCCCCCAAGAGUCCACAUCGACGGGGAGGUUUGGCACCUCGAUGUCGGCUCAUCACAUCCUGGGGCUGUAGUAGGUCCCAAGGGUUGGGCUGUUCGCCCAUUAAAGUGGUACGCGAGCUGGGUUCAGAACGUCGUGAGACAGUUCGGUCCCUAUCCGUCGCAGGCGUAGGAAAUUUGAGAAGACCUGUCCUUAGUACGAGAGGACCGGGAUGGACGUACCUCUGGUGUACCAGUUGUCCUGCCAAGGGCAUGGCUGGGUAGCUAUGUACGGAAUGGAUAAGCGCUGAAAGCAUCUAAGCGCGAAGCCAACUUCAAGAUAAGAUUUCCCACCGCAAGGGUAAGACCCCAGAAAGACUAUCUGGUUGAUAGGUCGAAGGUGUAAGUGCAGCAAUGUAUUUAGCUUAUCGAUACUAAUAGGUCGAGGACUUGACCAA